GCGGGAUUAGUUAAACGGCUUAACAUCACCUUCCCAAGGUGAGGAAACGGGUUCGACUCCCGUAUCCCGCU
This 71-nucleotide transfer RNA is filed under the name Candidatus Amesbacteria bacterium RIFOXYB1_FULL_44_23. Its description in RNAcentral is "tRNA-Gly". It matches the Rfam family "tRNA". From Rfam's summary of the family: Transfer RNA (tRNA) molecules are approximately 80 nucleotides in length. Their secondary structure includes four short double-helical elements and three loops (D, anti-codon, and T loops). Lineage: Bacteria; Candidatus Amesiibacteriota. The record is from RNAcentral.